This 483-nucleotide ribosomal RNA is filed under the name uncultured bacterium. RNAcentral describes it as "bacterial SSU rRNA". It matches the Rfam family "Bacterial small subunit ribosomal RNA", at positions 30 to 507 of the family's 1533-position model. The record is from RNAcentral.
AUUGAACGCUGGCGGCAGGCCUAACACAUGCAAGUCGAGCGGAUGAAGAGAGCUUGCUCUCUGAUUCAGCGGCGGACGGGUGAGUAAUGCCUAGGAAUCUGCCUGGUAGUGGGGGACAACGUUUCGAAAGGAACGCUAAUACCGCAUACGUCCUACGGGAGAAAGCAGGGGACCUUCGGGCCUUGCGCUAUCAGAUGAGCCUAGGUCGGAUUAGCUAGUUGGUGAGGUAAUGGCUCACCAAGGCGACGAUCCGUAACUGGUCUGAGAGGAUGAUCAGUCACACUGGAACUGAGACACGGUCCAGACUCCUACGGGAGGCAGCAGUGGGGAAUAUUGGACAAUGGGCGAAAGCCUGAUCCAGCCAUGCCGCGUGUGUGAAGAAGGUCUUCGGAUUGUAAAGCACUUUAAGUUGGGAGGAAGGGCAGUAAGCUAAUACCUUGCUGUUUGACGUUACCGACAGAAUAAGCACCGGCUAACUUCGUG